UGCACCGGAUCCCAUCAGAACACCGCAGUUGAGCGUGCUUGGGCGAGAGUAGUACUAGGAUGGGUGACCUCCUGGGAAGGCCUCGUGUUGCUCCCC
RNAcentral lists this ribosomal RNA (96 nucleotides) under Carpinus fangiana. The record is from RNAcentral. Lineage: Eukaryota; Viridiplantae; Streptophyta; Magnoliopsida; Fagales; Betulaceae.